UUGUUUGCAGGCUCAGAUACUGAUGACAUGGAGCACGACGAAUUGGAAGACUCAAGUCACAAUACCUAUGUCGACCAUGAUCCAUUGGACUAUGUCUACUCAAACCUCCCUGACCACACACACAUCCUGAAGCACGCCGCAAAUUGUGAUCACUGCAAGGCCAAGAAGUUUGUGUCUGAGGCCCCGGGAUUCUGCUGUCGCAGUGGGCAGAUCGAGCUGAAGCAACCGGAGCCCAUCCCGGAGCUAAUGAGGCUUUGGUCUAGCAUGGAUGCGGACUCAAGGCAUUUUCGGGAGAACAUACGGUUCUUCAACGGCCACUUCUCGUUCACAACCCUU
RNAcentral lists this ribosomal RNA (336 nucleotides) under Triticum aestivum (bread wheat). RNAcentral's name for it is "partial small subunit ribosomal RNA". Lineage: Eukaryota; Viridiplantae; Streptophyta; Magnoliopsida; Poales; Poaceae. The record is from RNAcentral.